UGGUUCUCAUAGAGGUUUCUGUUCAUCAUUUUCUGCUUUGAAGACAAUCUUGGGAGAGGCCACGAUGGCCCAUUAGAACCAGCUGCAGUGAGUAGUUCUCACUAAGUGAAAUGAAAACGGCAAGUGAAUUCAGCACCUUCAACUGAAAUAUCCAGGCUGUCUCAUUGGGACUGACUAGGUGGACAACUGGAUCCAUGGAGAAUGAAGAAAAGCAGGAUGGGAUGACAGCCCACAUGGGAGUGACAUGGAGCCAAAGGAACCCCCAACCCUGGCCAAGGGAAAUGGUGGUCUAGGCCAUAAGGACUACAACUCUUAGAUGAGUCCUAGUGCUGAACUAAGUCCAGAGACACUGGAUUGGAAGGCAUGUGACAUACUGAGACAUCAGCUGGUGCAGCCAAGGCAUCACCCCUCCCCAAACCCUAGGCUGCACAGCUCACACUCCAAAAGAGACUCUCUUCCUUCCGCUUUAGGAUAGGAGAGGAAAAAAUGGGAAGGACUUUCUUCGCAUCUUGGAUACUAGCUCAGCUACAGAAUGAUAGGGCACCAUCAGUGCUGCAAGGCUCCUGUUCCAGGCCCUAGCUCCUAGAUGACAUUUCUGGACACACCCUGGACCAGAAGGAAACUUGCUGCCUUGAAGGAAAGGAUGCAGUUGUGGCAGAAUUCAUCACUUGUUAACUGAAGAGGCUUUGGACCCUGAAUAACCAGCAGCGAUCCACAGGUACUAUGUUGAGGGCUUUGGGUGAGCCUCUGAGACUUGCUGGCUUUUGGCGAGACACAGCACAUUCCCAGCUGUGUUGGCUAUGGGGUAAAACUCCUGCUUGAGAAAAGCAGAAGGAAAAGUAAAAGAGAGUUUGUCCUGUACUGUACACACCAGCACGGGCACAGAGCGGUAGAGCAACACGCGAUGCCUUAGGAUCCCCGAUUCCAGGACUUGACCCUUGGAUGGCAUUUCUGGCGCUGCCCUAGAACAGGAGAAAGCCCACUGCCCUGAAGAGUGAGUCUCAGGCCAGGCAGCCUUGAACCUUAAGGGAACAUUGGCUAAAUCAUAGUUUGAUAGUACUCCUCAUGGCCUGGUGGCGAGUGCUAUGGAGUGAGGCUUCUCCUCUUUUGGAAAGGGGAGGGAAGAGUGGGAAGGACUACAUCUUGUGGUUUGAGUGCCGGUUCAUCCACAAUAAAAUCAAAUACUAAGUAGACGUCUAAGGUUUUGUACUCUAGUCCCUGAUUCUAUGGCACCUUUGCAUCCACCCAGGGCUUAGGCAACCUCAUUGACCUGAAAGGAGGGACACAGGCUUGAUUGACAUUGCCACUGGCUCAUUGUAGUACCUCAGGGCCUUGAUGUGAACACAGACAGUAGCCAGGCAGUAGUUACAGCAGGCCCUGAGUGAGACCCAAUACUGUGCUGGCUUCAGGUCUGACCCAGCACAGUAAUAAUGGUGGUGGCCACAGGGGUGAUUGUGUCAAUCCACCCUCAAUGUUAGAUGGCCCAGGAGAGAGGGAGGGG
This 1501-nucleotide long non-coding RNA is filed under the name Homo sapiens (human). Its description in RNAcentral is "HSALNT0072824". The record is from RNAcentral. Lineage: Eukaryota; Metazoa; Chordata; Mammalia; Primates; Hominidae.